RNAcentral lists this ribosomal RNA (290 nucleotides) under uncultured bacterium. RNAcentral's name for it is "partial 16S ribosomal RNA". It matches the Rfam family "Bacterial small subunit ribosomal RNA", at positions 334 to 638 of the family's 1533-position model. The record is from RNAcentral.
GAGUCCUACGGGAGGCAGCAGUGGGGAAUAUUGGGCAAUGGGCGCAAGCCUGACCCAGCAACGCCGCGUGAAGGAAGAAGGCUUUCGGGUUGUAAACUUCUUUUCUCAGGGACGAAGCAAGUGACGGUACCUGAGGAAUAAGCCACGGCUAACUACGUGCCAGCAGCCGCGGUAAUACGUAGGUGGCAAGCGUUACCCGGAUUUACUGGGUGUAAAGGGCGUGUAGGCGGGGACGCAAGUCAGAUGUGAAAACCACGGGCUCAACCUGUGGCCUGCAUUUGAAACUGUGU